Molecule: ribosomal RNA, 479 nt
Filed under: uncultured bacterium
Lineage: Bacteria
Description: partial 16S ribosomal RNA
Rfam family: Bacterial small subunit ribosomal RNA
Source: RNAcentral
GAUGAACGCUGGCGGCGUGCUUAACACAUGCAGGUCGAACGGUGAAGCAGGAGCUUGCUCUUGUGGAUCAGUGGCGAACGGGUGAGUAACACGUGAGCAACCUGCCCCUGACUCUGGGAUAAGCGCUGGAAACGGUGUCUAAUACUGGAUAUGUGAUGUGACCGCAUGGUCUGCAUCUGGAAAGAAUUUCGGUUGGGGAUGGGCUCGCGGCCUAUCAGCUUGUUGGUGAGGUAAUGGCUCACCAAGGCGUCGACGGGUAGCCGGCCUGAGAGGGUGACCGGCCACACUGGGACUGAGACACGGCCCAGACUCCUACGGGAGGCAGCAGUGAGGAAUUUUCCACAAUGGGCGAAAGCCUGAUGGAGCAAUACCGCGUGAAGGAUGACGGCCUUCGGGUUGUAAACUUCUUUUAAAUGGGAAGAUUAUGACGGUACCAUUUGAAUAAGCAUCGGCUAACUACGUGCCAGCAGCCGCCGUAA